RNAcentral lists this microRNA precursor (105 nucleotides) under Gossypium raimondii (Peruvian cotton). Its description in RNAcentral is "miR8693 stem-loop (gra-MIR8693)". Lineage: Eukaryota; Viridiplantae; Streptophyta; Magnoliopsida; Malvales; Malvaceae. The record is from miRBase by way of RNAcentral.
CCAAUGGUUUAAUGUUACUUCAGUAAUUUCAUCCUGAAUUUUAGGAUUUUUAUUUAGAUUUGAUUUUUUUCAGGAUGAAAAUAUUGAUGUAGCAUUAAACUAUUG